CACUGCAACCUCCGCCUCCCAAGUUCAAGCGAUUCUCCUGCCUCAACCUCCCGAAUAGCUGGGACUACAGGCAUGUGCCACCACGCCCAGCUAAUUUUUUGUGUUUUUAGUAGAGACGGGUUUCACCGUGUUAGCGAGGAUGGUCUCGACCUCCUGACCUCAUGAUCCACCCACCUCAGCCUCCCAAAGUGCUGGGAUUACAGGCAUGAGCCACCGCGCCCAGUCCCAAAUUCUUCUUAAGUGCACAUGGAACAUUCUCUAGGACAGACCAUAUGUUAGGACACAAAACCAGUUCAAUAAGUUUUAAAAUAUCAACAUUAUGGGCUAGGCACAAUGGCUCACACCUGUAAUCCCAGCACUUUGGGAGGCCAAGGCGGGUGGAUCACCUGAAGUCAGGAGUUUGAGACCAGCCUGGCCAACAUGGCGAAACCCCGUCUCUACUAAAAAUACAAAAAUUAGCCAGGCAUGGUGGCAUGCGCCUGUAAUCCCAGCUACUCGGGAGGCUGAGGCAUGAGAAUCUCUUGAACCCGGUAGGCAGAGGUUGCAGUGAGCCAAGAUCAUGCCAUUGCACUCCAGCCUGGGCGACAAGAGUGAAACUCCAUCUCAAAAAAAAAAAAAAAAAAAUCAACAUUAUACAAAGUAUCUUGUCUAGUUACAACAGAAUAAAGCUAGACAUCAAUAAUGGAAGGAAAAUAGCUACAAAAAUAUACAACAGCAACCUAUUAGAAAUGCAAGGACAGCCUGGGCACAGUGGCUCAUCCCAUAAUCCCAGCACCCUGGGAGGUCGAGGCAGGUGGACUGCUUGAGCCCAGGACUUUGAAGCCAGUCUGGGCAACCUAGUAAGACCCCAUUGUUGCAAAAAAUACAAAAAAUUAGGCUGGGCACAGUGGCUUACACCUGUAAUCCCAGCACUUUGGGAGGCUGAGGCGGGUGGAUCGCCUGAGGUCAGGAUUUUGAGACCAGCCUGACCAACAUGGUGAAACCCCGUCUCUACUAAAAAUACAAUUAGCCAGGCACAGUAGUGGGCACCUGUAAUCCCAGCUACUCAGGAGGCUGAGGCAGGAGAAUUACUUGAACUUAGGCGGCAGAGGUUGCACUGAGCCGAGGUCGCGCCACUGCACUCCAGCCUAGGCAAAAAGUGAAACUCCAUCUCAAAAAAAAAAAAAAAAAAAAUUAGCUGGACAUGGUGGUGUGUGCCUGUGGUCCAGCAACUCUGGAGGCUGAGGUGGGAGGAUCACCUGAGCCUGGGAGGUCAAGGCUGCAGUGAACCAUGAUUGCACCACUGCACUCCAGCUUGGGCAACAGAGUGCAACCCUGUUUCCACCCCCAAAAAAGAAAGAAAUGUAAGGACAGAGUGAUAAAUCUAAAAUUUUAGUUAGCAGUUUUAACAUACCUGUUUUAAUAAGUUAAUACAUCAAGUAAAAACAAAAAGUAUGCAGAGGGUUUAAAUUACACAAUUAGCAAAGUAUGUCAUAGAUAUACAGAUAAACUUUGUACCCACUAAGAGAGAAUAUUCAGUCUCCUGUUUUUGUUUUUGUUUUUUAGUGAGACAGGGACUCACACUCUCAGCCCAGGCUGGAGUACAGUGGUGCUAUCAUAGCUCACUGCAGCCUAGAACUCCUGAACUCAAGCAAUCCUCCCACUUCAGCCUCCUGAGUAGCUGGGACCACAGGGGUGCACCACCAUGCCCAGCUAGUUGUCAAAAAUGUUUUGUAGAGGCAGGGUCUCCAUAUGUUGCCCAGACUGGUCUUGAACUUCCAGGCCCAAGCAAUCCUCCUGUCUCAGCAUCUCAAAGUGCAGGGAUUACAGGCAUGAGCCACUGCACCCAGCCUUAUGUGUUUUAAUGUAUCAAUUUUUAAAGAACAACAAUUCAAAAGAAAAGCCAAAAAGGAUGUGAACAGUCACUUCUCAGAAAAGGAGAUGCAAACGGCUCUUACACAUGUGAAAAAUGCUUAAUCUACUCAUAACCAGAGAAAUGCAAAUUCUCUAAUGCAAACUGCCCAGAGAGACCUUGGCUUCUAAAUAUCAUUCUCCAAUGAAAAGAACAGAACUUUUUGGAGGAAUGGGUGAUUCUAGAGCUGGGAUGCAGAGAAUACAAAAUGAACCUUGAGCAUCUUACAGUGUCAUAAAAUAAGGAAGUGGGGCGGGGCGAGAUGGGAGGCAUGUUAAGUACACAGGAGCUCACUUACAUACUGAAUGAAGUCCCUAACGAAGGGGGCCUAGGGGCCAAAUUGAAACAACUUAGCUAACAAAAUUAAGUAUGAUGGGUUUUGUUUGUUUGUUUGUUUGUUUGUUUGUUUGUUUUUGAGACAGAGUCUCGCUCUGUCACCCAGGCUGGAGUGCAAUGGCACAAUCUUGGCUCACUGCAACCUCCGCCUCCCGGGUUCAAGCGAUUCUCCUGCCUCAGCCUCCCGAGUAGCUGAGAUUAUAGGUGCACGCCACCACGCCCAGCUAAUUUUUUUGUAUUUUUUAGUAGAGACAGGGUUUCACCAUGUUGGCCAGGCUGGUCUCAAACUCCUGACUUUGUGAUCCACCUGCCUCGGCCUCUCAAAAUACUAGGAUUACAGGCAUGAGCCACUGUGCCCGGCCAGUACGAUGGUUUUUAAUUAUAACAAAUGAAUUAAAUAAAUAAAUGAGGAAGAAAAAAUUCUUCCUUACCGGAGGCAUGUAGAGGAAAUAGAGCCACCCUGCCUUCAUUCCAUAGCAGACAUUUCCUGAUGUCAUCCUAUGUGACAGGCUCUGGGCUGGGGCUGGGCUAUGACAGUCCCCCUCAGGAGAUCACAGUCUGCUGGCAGGAUGGAUGGUGACAUCAUGAGUGUGCAGUUAACUUAUAUACAGGCACCCACCCACUUCUCCUCUUUCAGCUUCUCUAGUUCAGUGCCAUAUUUUGCUUUUUCUCGGUACCCUUUUUGCAAAUUGAGAUAUAAAUUACAUGAAAUAAAAUGCACCCAUUGUAAGUAUAUAGUUUGAUGUGUUUUGACAAAUGUAGGUCCCUGUGUAACCACCACCCCAAUCAAAAUAAAGAACACUUCUUAGCACUCCAGGAAGCUUUCUCCUGCCCCCACCGCAGGCAACCACCGAUCUGAUUUCUGUUACUGUAGCUUACUUUUGCUUGUUCUAGAAUUUCAUAAAAAUGAAAUCAUGGAGUAUGUACCUUUUGAGUCUGGCUUCCUUCCCUCAGCAUGCUGUCUGCAGAAUGCAUCCACAUUGCUUUGUUUAUCAAUGGUUCGUUCCUUUUUCUUGCUGAGUAGUAUUCCAUUGUAUGGAUGGAAGUUUCUUUAUCCCUUCACCUGUUGAUGGCCAUUUGGUUUCCAGUUCAGGCUAUAAAAAUUACGAGGGGGUCAGGCAGGGUGAUUCAGACCUAUAAUCCCAGCACUUUGGGAGGCUGAAGGAUCCUUUAAACCCAACAGUUCAAGACCAGCCAGGGCAACAUAUUGAGACCCCAUCUCUAAAUUAAAAAUUAAGAAAAGAAAUAAGAGGCUGGACACAGUGGCUCACGUCUGUAAUCCCAGCACUUUGGGAGGCUAAGGCAGGUAGAUCAUUUGAGCCCAGGAGUUCAAGACCAGCCUGGGCAACAUGAUGAAACCCUGCCUCUACUAAAAUUACCAAAAAAAAAAAAAUUUAGCCAGCUCUGGUGAUGCACACCUGUAAUCUCAACUACUUGGGAGGCUGAGGCAUGAGAAUCACUUGAACACAGGAGGCAGAGGUUGCAUUGAGCUGAGAUCUUGCCACUGCACUCCAGCCUCAGCAACAGAAUGAGACUGUCCAAAAAACAAAACAAAACAAAAAACAGAAAGAAAAAAUAUAAGGGGACCUCCAAAAGUUCAUGGAAAUUGAAUUAAAAUAUAAAAAUUUUUAAAAAUGAAUUUUGUUUCUCAACAUAAGCUCCACCAAGGUCAAGACACUUUUUCUU
RNAcentral lists this long non-coding RNA (3913 nucleotides) under Homo sapiens (human). RNAcentral describes it as "HSALNT0232507". Lineage: Eukaryota; Metazoa; Chordata; Mammalia; Primates; Hominidae. The record is from RNAcentral.